This 1681-nucleotide long non-coding RNA is filed under the name Homo sapiens (human). Its description in RNAcentral is "HSALNT0080312". Lineage: Eukaryota; Metazoa; Chordata; Mammalia; Primates; Hominidae. The record is from RNAcentral.
GCAUUUCGCAAGGACUCAGGCUUAACUUUCAAGGGGUAUUUUUUUUUUCUGUAGUAAGGCCGUAGUAGUAAGGGAAGAAGAGUGACCCAAGGAGGGCCUGAGGAUAUUCUGCAUUCAGUUGAUGGACAAUCAAGGUGCAUAAAGCAUGUGCAUAUCUCUGUCUCCUCUGCCUGGAAUGAUGCACAACAUGUUCUCCAUUUUUCCUUUGGAAGUCUCUGUCAGAAACAUGCUACCACAUGGAAAGAUCUACAUGGCAAGGAACUGAAAGAAUGAAAGAGGACCCCUUCUAAUAGCUAGCAAGAGGCUGAUUCUGUCAGCCUAAUAGCCUGUAAGGAACUAAAUCCUGCCAACAACCACGUGUCUUGAAAAUGUAUCCUUCCACAGUCUAGCCUCAGAUAAGAGUCUACCCCAAACAAUAGCUUGGUUGCAACCUUGUGAAAGACACUGAAGCAGAGAACCCAGUUAAGUCACACCCAGAUUUUUGGCCCAGAGAAAUUGUGAGAUAACGAACAUACCUUGUUUUAAGCUGCUAAUUUUGUGGGAAUCAGUUACACAGCAAUAGAGAACUAAAAAAUUUGCUCAAGGUAAUGGAAGUAAUAAGUUGAUGAGUAAGAAUGUGAAACUUGACAGUUUGAUUUAGGAAGUUUAUGCUAACAGCUGCAAUUUUAUAUUUUUACAUUGGAACAUUUUUAUUUUUUAUGUUUCAGUAGAAAUUGUUCUAGUACCAGUUUUAAUUAUAAAAGGUACCAUGAUAAAAGCCAAAAUCGGUUACCUGAGAGUAAGAUGUUCCUAUCUAAUAGAGUUCUUGGGUAUCUACUUGCAUCCAUUGAGAAAUAAAGAUUUGGAAAGUAUUCUGAGUGAGGGAAAGACUUGAACUUUGCCCAUAACUGGCAUUCAGAUAAAGACAAGUUUGAUAAAUACCCUAGCAGUAGUCAUACACAUGGGAGAUGAUGGGGUUUCUGAUAUUAAAUUUCUGUGAGAGGGGAUUGCAUCUAACACAAUCAUCUCAACUUUAAAUGAGGCUCUAGGGUUGAAGUAAAAUGAUAGCUCAGAGCACAGCUUGGUGGCAGUUACCAGUUCUAAUGGCAUCUCAGUGCUCUGUGCAGAAGAGGACUGUGUAGGAGUUGAAAGAGAUGUUUCCUUUGACUCUGAAACUCUGACACUGAAGCAAAGUCACUGUGGGACCCAAUUAAUUGAGUGUAAGACAGAGGAUAACAUUUCUCUCACUUGGCAAGUAUGGUGAGAGAGCCCCAGCUCAACAAUUCCAAGGCUCAAAUAAUUUUGUCACCAGUGACAGCUUUAUUGGGCAGCAGGAGCAGAGGUCUGUUUGUCUGUGGACCUGUCUGUUCCUGAGGCAUGGGAGCCCAGCCCAAUGAGUUGUGGGAAGGACAGCAAGCAGGACUCAUACAUAUGUGAGUGGAGAUAAGGAUAGGGAAUAUUGCAGUCAAGCAGAGGAGGGUUUACAGAUAGAGUGUUAAUGUAGGUGUCACGAUAUUUCACGUGUAGGCUGAUGAUGCCAGAACAUUAAGUUAUAUAAAGAUUAAAGAAAAUAAAUAAGCUAUGAAAUUCCACAGCCCAAUCACUCACAUGUCUGUGCAAAAUAUCUCUCGUGUAAAAUUGGUGAUUACAUUCUGAAGAAACUUGUUUCUGAAUAUUUUAUGCUGCCAUAGUUAUUUGAAAC